GGGCGGCCCAAUUUUCUCUUUAAAUAGGAGUAAUUUUUGUGAAUCCCAAAUCUCAUUCGCUUGUUCUCUCUCUCUCUCUUCCAUGUAGAGAGAAAAUUGUAAAGCUUCUCCCAAGAUUCAUACAAAGGAAGGGAUGCAGCCAUGGCUACCUUCCACAUAAAAAGGAAUCUAUAUUUAUGGAGCAUCAUAAAUAAUACCUUAUUCAAAAGCUUUGGAGCUACCAGUAAUAAUAAAGGCUUCUACUCAACCUUAAAUUGGCCCUAUCCCAUCUGAGCUUUUUUUUUUAACUAUUAUUAUAGUAAUAAAAAUAAUUAUGAUAUAAAUAGGAUAAGAUUAUUUAUAGGGUACCAUCGUGACCAUUCAUUCAAAGUGUACAACUAUGAUAAAUGGCUAGAAUCGUAAUGUACAAUCUUAAUGAAUGAUCAUGAUUGUACUUUAUUAGUAAAGUAUGACUUAUCCUAUAAGACCUAGUUUUCUUGACCUUGUAAGACCCAACUCCAACUUCUCUAAUAUUUCUUUAUGUUGAAGUUGAAGUUGCUAUCUUAUCAAUUAUCAUUUUCUUUUCCUACCCACCUCACUCUCCUUCACUAUCUAUCCCUCCUGAGCUGUAAAUCCAAUUAAAUAUUGCAUGGAUAUAUGUUAAUUAAGCCUUUUGUUUUGGUUAAUUAUCCCUUAAACCCAUCGAUCAUCAUGCAUUUAGCUAGCUAGCCCUACCAUUUUGGGUUUAUAUGUAAAGAAGUGUACUGAAGGUGUCUGAAAUGUAAAAACUUUGAUGUACAAUAAUGUAUUAAAUAUAUUAUUAAGCCUACUUUUUUUC
Long non-coding RNA from Humulus lupulus (European hop), 817 nucleotides. RefSeq lists it as uncharacterized. The transcript is spliced from 2 exons. The record is from RefSeq and is a predicted model, not a curated record. Lineage: Eukaryota; Viridiplantae; Streptophyta; Magnoliopsida; Rosales; Cannabaceae.